This 396-nucleotide ribosomal RNA is filed under the name uncultured bacterium. Its description in RNAcentral is "bacterial SSU rRNA". It matches the Rfam family "Bacterial small subunit ribosomal RNA", at positions 362 to 776 of the family's 1533-position model. The record is from RNAcentral.
UAUUGCACAAUGGAGGAAACUCUGAUGCAGCGACGCCGCGUGAGGGAAGACGGUCUUCGGAUUGUAAACCUCUGUCUUUGGGGAAGAAAAUGACGGUACCCAAAGAGGGAGAUCCGGCUAACUACGUGCCAGCAGCCGCGGUAAUACGUAGGGAGCGAGCGUUGUCCGGAAUUACUGGGUGUAAAGGGAGCGUAGGCGGGCGAGAAAGUUGAAUGUUAAAUCUACCGGCUUAACUGGUAGCUGCGUUCAAAACUACUUGUCUUGAGUGAAGUAGAGGCAGGCGGAAUUCCUAGUGUAGCGGUGAAAUGCGUAGAUAUUAGGAGGAACACCAGUGGCGAAGGCGGCUUACUGGACUGUAACUGACGUUGAGGCUCGAAAGCGUGGGGAGCAAACAGG